Bifidobacterium dentium Bd1 is the source of this 358-nucleotide non-coding RNA. It matches the Rfam family "Bacterial RNase P class A". Rfam says of the family: Ribonuclease P (RNase P) is a ubiquitous endoribonuclease, found in archaea, bacteria and eukarya as well as chloroplasts and mitochondria. Its best characterised activity is the generation of mature 5'-ends of tRNAs by cleaving the 5'-leader elements of precursor-tRNAs. Cellular RNase Ps are ribonucleoproteins. The record is from Rfam. Lineage: Bacteria; Bacillati; Actinomycetota; Actinomycetes; Bifidobacteriales; Bifidobacteriaceae.
UGAGACCUCUUGAUGACCGCGAUCAUGAAGAUGAUUGAGGAACUUCCGGGCUCCACAGAGCACGAUGGCGGAUAACGUCCGCCCAGGGCGACCUGAGAGAUAGCGCAACAGAGAACAGACCGCCGGUCUUCGGACCGGUAAGGGUGAAACGGUGGCGUAAGAGACCACCGGACCGCUGGCAACAGUCGGUCGCAUGGCAAGCCUCAUCGGGAGCAAGGCCAAGCAGAAGGCGUUUGAGGGCUGCUCGCCCAAUGCCUUCGGGUAGGCUGCUAGAGCCUGACGGCAACGUCAGGUCGAGAUGGAUGGUCAUCCGUGCCUUACGGCAUGACAGAACCCGGGGUAUAAGAGGUCUCAAUCC